UCCUGGCUCUCUGUCUCUGCUGUAACAGGUAGUGUGUGUGUACCUGGGGACAGUAACUGUAGUAACUGUAGUUGUUUCUGAUGGAACUCUCUCCUGACUCUCUGUCUCUGCUGUAACAGGUAGUGUGUGUGUACCUGGGGACAGUAACUGUAGUAACUGUAGUUGUUUCUGAUGGAACUCUCUCCUGGCUCUCUGUCUCCUGACACACAGCUGUAGUCUCAGCUCCUCCUCCCAGCACUCAGCCUGAGCCUGCUGCACUCUCCUCUGCCGCCGCUCCCUACACACACACACACACACACACACACACACACACACACACACACACACACACACACACAACUGUCUGGAAUUAUUCUGAUCUUAUUUAACAUGUAUUUUGACAGGAAGUCAUGAUGAGACCAACAUCUCUUCUACAGAUGAGCCCUGGAAUUACAAAAAAUAUAUACAUCAAUACAAAUACAAAACAGAGAUACAAAACACGAUCAUAGAUCGGUGAAAAAAAGAAAGCCCCCACACACACACACACACACACACACACACACACACACACACACACACACACACACACGGACACACAGACACACAGACACACACAGACACACACAGACACACACACACGGACACACAGACACACGGACACACAGACACACAGACACACAGACACACAGACACACAGACACACAGACACACAGACACACGGACACACACACACGGACACACACACACGGACACACACACACGGACACACACACACGGACACACACACACGGACACACACGGACACACACACACACGGACACACACACACACGGACACACACACACACGGACACACACACACACACACGGACACACACACACGGACACACACACACGGACACACACACACACACACACGGACACACGGACACACACACAGACACAGACACACACACGGACACAGACACACACGGACACACACACACACACGACACACACACACACACACACGGACACAGACACACACACAGACACACACACAGACACAGACACACACACAGACACACACACACACGGACACACACACACACCUGAAGCUCCUCUGCAGUGAUCUGACAGCUCUGGGCAGACUCUUCACUCUCCUCCUGGUCUGAUAGGAUCUCCACGCUGCCUGGAUGACACACGCCGCUCUCACACACUCCUCUGGCCACGUCUGAUAACACAGAGAGAGUGUAAGGCACGCACACACACGAACAACAACAAACACACUAUAUUUUACCUCUGUGUGAUCAGCUGGUUUGGGGACUUUGUGCAGCAGCUUGAUCAGUUGGUCCACUUCCUCAUCGAAGCCCCGCCCCCUCCAUUCUCGACCAAUCAUGCCCUCCAACCCUGCAACACACAAACCAUAAACAUCAAGAUUGCUUUUGCAAGCAUAUAAAGUUAACCCAUGAAAAAAUAUAUAUAUCUUAACCUGGAAAUAUCCCCCUGACCUUUGAACCUGUGGAUGAUAAGCUGCAGGGCGGAUUCUUGUUGCCGGGCAACCAGGAGGAGCGUCCUAAUUGCUGCCCCUCCCACAGCAGGGUUGGAUGUGUGAGCCAUUCGGUACACGACGUCAUCCAGAAUCACAGACAAGGGGCCUUUUCCCAAACCUGCUACUAACUCACUACAGAGAGGCAGCGGGUAAUGAAUUUAAUUGAUAUGUGUGUGUGUGUGUGUGUGUGUGUGUGUGUGUGUGUGUGUGUGGUGAUAUGCUACCUGUUAGCUGUCAGAAGCUGAUGCCACAGUGACACACACACGGUUCCCACUCUCUCCUCCUCACUCAUUAACAUCCUCUCAUAGUGGUCUGACUGCAGGACUGAGAGAGAGAGAAGAGGGGUGCAUCGUUAGCUAGGUAAGGGGUCUAUUUGGUAAUGGACGUUAGAUCUCACCUUGUGUGGCCAGGUGACCAUGGGCUUUCAGAAGCCAACACACAGAGCCCAUCACCUUCCUGAAGAAACGAAACAUCUCAGGCUGCCCAUUCC
RNAcentral lists this long non-coding RNA (1999 nucleotides) under Salmo salar (Atlantic salmon). RNAcentral's name for it is "lncRNA (ENSSSAG00000088060.1)". Lineage: Eukaryota; Metazoa; Chordata; Actinopteri; Salmoniformes; Salmonidae. The record is from RNAcentral.